GUGCUUGCUUACCACAUAUACUAAAAUUGGAAUGAUACAGAGAAGAUUAUCAUGGCCCCUGCGCAAGGAUGACACACAGAUUCAUGAAGCAUUCCAUAAAACA
RNAcentral lists this small nuclear RNA (103 nucleotides) under Carlito syrichta (Philippine tarsier). The record is from RNAcentral. Lineage: Eukaryota; Metazoa; Chordata; Mammalia; Primates; Tarsiidae.